UCCGUCGUGGUGUAGUGGCUAGCAUUUGAGACUCUCAUUUCGAUAACCGAACUGUGACCUCUCAGAACCCGGGUUCAAUUCCCGGCGACGGAA
This is a non-coding RNA of Terfezia claveryi, 93 nucleotides long. Lineage: Eukaryota; Fungi; Ascomycota; Pezizomycetes; Pezizales; Pezizaceae. The record is from the annotation of a GenBank genome assembly.